UGAGUACGAGAUGCUACGGCAUCGAAGCAGUCUAUGUCAUACUUCCAAGAAAAGCUUGCACUGUCAUAAACAAAGAAUGCCUGUACCAUAACCGACACAGGUGGGUAGGUAGAGUAUACUAAGGGGCGCGAGAUAACUCUCUCUAAGGAACUCGGCAAAAUGACUCCGUAACUUCGGGAGAAGGAGUGCCUUAUUUCUAAGGUUGCAAUAACAAGAUCCAAGCAACUGUUUACCAAAAACACAGGUCUCCGCUAAGUCGUAAGACGAUGUAUGGGGGCUGACGCCUGCCCAGUGCCAGAAGGUUAAAGAAGUUGGUUAGCAUUAGCGAAGCUGAUAACUGAAGCCCUGGUGAACGGCGGCCGUAACAAUAACGGUCCUAAGGUAGCGAAAUUCCUUGUCGGGUAAGUUCCGACCCGCACGAAAGGCGUAAUGAUUUGGAUACUGUCUCGGAGAGGGGCUCGGUGAAAUAGACUUGUCUGUGAAGAUGCGGACUACCUGCACCUGGACAGAAAGACCCUAUGAAGCUUUACUGUAACUUGAGAUUGAAAUUGGACUUUAUUUGCGCAGUAUAGGUGGGAGGCGUUGAGAAUAAUCUUGCGGGAUUGUUGGAGCCAUCAGUGAGAUACCACUCUUGUAAUGUUAGAUUUCUAACUUUGUAUCAUUAUCUGGUCAAAGAACAGUUUCAGGCGGGCAGUUUGACUGGGGCGGUCGCCUCCCAAAGGGUAACGGAGGCGCACAAAGGUUUCCUCUGAACGGGUAGAAAUCGUAUCUAGAGUGUAAAGGCAUAAGGAAGCUUGACUGUGAGACCUACAAGUCGAGCAGGGACGAAAGUCGGUCUUAGUGAUCUGACGGUGCUGAGUGGAAAGGCCGUCACUCAACGGAUAAAAGUUACUCUAGGAUAACAGGCUGAUCUCCCCCAAGAGUUCACAUCGACGGGGAGGUUUGGCACCUCGAUGUCGGCUCAUCGCAUCCUGGGGCGGUAGUCCGUCCCAAGGGUUGGGCUGUUCGCCCAUGAAAGCGGUACGCGAGCUGGGUUCAGAACGUCGUGAGACAGUUCGGUCCAUAUCCGGUGUAGGCGUUAGAAUAUUGAGAGGAGCCUUCUCUAGUACGAGAGGACCGAGAAGGACAUACCUCUGGUGUACCAGUUAUCGUGCCAACGGUAAACGCUGGGUAGCUAUGUAUGGAGUGGAUAACCGCUGAAAGCAUCUAAGUGGGAAGCCCACCUCAAGAUAAGUAUUCUCAU
RNAcentral lists this ribosomal RNA (1243 nucleotides) under metagenome. RNAcentral describes it as "bacterial LSU rRNA". It matches the Rfam family "Bacterial large subunit ribosomal RNA", at positions 1564 to 2817 of the family's 2925-position model. The record is from RNAcentral.